GUUGUAUGGUUUAGAAUUACACCAAGGGAGAUAACUGUACAACCUCCUAGCUUUCCUUGGGUCUUGCACAAAGCAGCGGUUGUGGUGGAAAGCCGGGAAUCCUUCAACACUGCUUCGCUCUGCUAUACUGAGAAGCCACAGGAAAAACAGGAAAAACUCAGCCGCUCUCAGGACCUCAAGACUGAACUUCAAAGACUCUGGCAGAAACCAGUGCAGGUGGUCCCGGUGGUGAUGGGCACACUGGGUGCCGUGCCAAAAGAUCUCAGCCGGCAUUUGGAAACAAUAGACAUUGACAAAAUCACGAUCUGCCAACUGCAAAAGGCCACCCUGCUGGGAUCUGCGCACAUCAUCUGAAAAUACAUCACACAGUCCUAGACACUUGGGAAGUGUUCAACUUGUGAUUUUGUGAUAUGAAAUCCAGCAUAUCUAUCUUGUUUGCUAUGUCAUAAAAUAAUAAUAAUAAUAAUAAUAAUAAUAAUAAUAAUAAUAAUAAUAAUAAUAAUAAUAAUAUAUCUGCCAAGUGCAAAAGGCCACCCUGCUGGGAUCUGUGUGCAUCAACCGAAAAUACAUCACACAGUCCUAGACACUUGGGAAGUGUUCGGCUUGUGAUUUUGUGAUAUGAAAUCCAGCAUAUCUAUCUUGUUUGCUAUGUCAUAAUAAAAUAAUAAUAAUAAUAAUAAUAAUAAUAAUAAUAAUAAUAAUAAUAAUAAUAAUAAUAAUGGUUUCCAUCAAAACCUAUUUGUGAAACCAGUAGGUUUGGGUUUUAGUUCUUUUCUGUAAUUUCAUUGUAUUAUUCCAAAGCUAUUUUAGAAUGUGUGCAUCUGUGUAUCUACUCACACAAAAAAAUAUUUUAGAACUUUAGUUGAACCAACUUUGGCAGGAUUGAGUCUUAUUCUCUCUUUCAUUACUCUGGCAAGAAACACAUCUGUGGCAUUGAAGGGCACACACAUUUUUCAAUAAAUGGUUUAUGUGGUCCUACAAACACCACAACUUCCUCUUUCAUGUUUUCAUUUUCCCUUCAAGAAAACAAAGACUGGGGGAAAUCAGAGUUUCCAAGGCCAACAUUUGCCAGAAGCCUGGCUUGCUCUUCCCCGUAAAGAGGCGAAUUGAGGUCCUGGUCUCAUACAGAGAAAAAAGAAAUUGACAUGUUAUGCUUGGUCUAGAGAUGGCUCCUAAGUGUAACAUGUAGUUCUAUAAUAAGCUAACAGAGAUACCGUAUAUACUCAAGUAUAAGCCGACCCGAAUAUAAGCCGAGGCUCCUAAUUUUAUCACAAUAAACUGGGAUAACUUAUUGACUCGAGUAUAAGCCGAGGGUGGGAAAUGCAACAGCUAUGGGUAAAUUUCAAAAUAAAAAUAGAUACCAAUAAAAUUUCAUUUCAUUAAUCGAGGCAUUUUUGAAUAUUUACCGUAUUUCAAAGAAAAGAAAUAAACUAGCAAUAUAAGUGGAAAAGUAGGGGCAGCAAAAACAAUAUGGUAUCAACAAUAACCUAAUAAUAAUACUAAUAAUAAUAAUAAUAAUAAUAAUAAUAAUAAUAAUAAUUUCAAUUGGAUCCCACCCUAUCUCCCCAUGGGGACUCAGGCCGGCUUCCAACAUAGUAACAGGUAAAC
This is a long non-coding RNA of Anolis carolinensis (green anole), 1608 nucleotides long. The record is from Ensembl. NCBI's taxonomy places the organism in Eukaryota, Metazoa, Chordata, Lepidosauria, Squamata, Anolidae.